This 433-nucleotide ribosomal RNA is filed under the name uncultured organism. RNAcentral's name for it is "bacterial SSU rRNA". It matches the Rfam family "Bacterial small subunit ribosomal RNA", at positions 29 to 507 of the family's 1533-position model. The record is from RNAcentral.
AACGAACGCUGGCGGCAUGCCUAAUACAUGCAAGUCGAACGAUCCUUUCGGGGAUAGUGGCGCACGGGUGCGUAACGCGUGGGAAUCUGCCCUUGGGUUCGGAAUAACUUCGGGAAACUGAAGCUAAUACCGGAUGAUGACGAAAGUCCAAAGAUUUAUCGCCCAGGGAUGAGCCCGCGUAGGAUUAGCUAGUUGGUGGGGUAAAGGCCUACCAAGGCGACGAUCCUUAGCUGGUCUGAGAGGAUGAUCAGCCACACUGGGACUGAGACACGGCCCAGACUCCUACGGGAGGCAGCAGUAGGGAAUAUUGGACAAUGGGCGAAAGCCUGAUCCAGCAAUGCCGCGUGAGUGAUGAAGGCCUUAGGGUUGUAAAGCUCUUUUACCCGAGAUGAUAAUGACAGUAUCGGGAGAAUAAGCUCCGGCUAACUCCGUG